UUCGGAUAGGGAAACAGCAAA
Caenorhabditis elegans is the source of this 21-nucleotide non-coding RNA. The record is from Ensembl. NCBI's taxonomy places the organism in Eukaryota, Metazoa, Nematoda, Chromadorea, Rhabditida, Rhabditidae.